CGCUAUGGGUCUCAUUGGAUUCUAUGGGUCGCUAUGGGUCUCAUUGGAUUCUAUGGGUCGCUAUGGGUCUCAUUGGAUUCUAUGGGUCUCUAUGGGUCUCUAUGGGUCGCUAUGGGUCUCAUUGGAUUCUAUGGGUCUCUAUGGGUCUCAUUGGAUUCUAUGGGUCUCUAUGGGUCUCAUUGGAUUCUAUGGGUCACUAUGGGUCUCAUUGUAUUCUAUGGGUCGCUAUGGGUCUCAUUGUAUUCUAUGGGUCGCUAUGGGUCUCAAUGGAUUCUAUGGGUCUCUAUGGGUCUCACUGGAUUCUAUGGGUCUCUAUGGGUCUCUAUGGGUCGCUAUGGGUUUCAUUGGAUUCUAUGGGUUGCUAUGGGUCUCUAUGGGUCGCUAUGGGUCUCAUUGGAUUCUAUGGGUCUCUAUGGGUCUCUAUGGGUCUCUAUGGGUCUCUAUGGGUCGCUAUGGGGCUGAUGCUGUGUCCCCCCCCCCCCAGGACGUGUUCUCCUUCAUCUUCGAUGGGAUCCCCCCCUCCCUGCACGGUGUGGGGCUGCGGGGUGACCCACAACUGCUGGGGGCCUUCUGUGGGGGGGGGCCCUCCCAGCCCCACACAUUGGUGGCCCGCUCAGGUGUGGCUGUCAUAUACUCUGCCCCCCCCGCCGUGGGGCUGAACGUCACUGUCCGUCUGUGUGGGGCGGGGCCGGGGGGUGGGGCCGACUGUGGGGCGGAGCCUGAGGAGACCACGCCCCCUUCAGUGCACACUGACCAAUGGGAGCAAGAGGAGGAGUGUAAUGAGACCCGGUGCCUGGAGCCGUGGAGCGUCCAAUGGGAGCAGCUGGGGGCGGAGCAUAAAGGAGCCGUGAGUGGGGGGAUCUAUGGGGCUCUAUGGGUCUAUGGGUCUCUAUGGGUCUAUGGGUCCCAAUGGGUCUCUAUGGGAUCUCAGUGAGGCUCUAUGGGUCUCUAUGGGGCUCUAUGGGUCCCUAUGGGUCUCUAUGGGGCUCUAUGGGUCUCUAUGGGGUCUCUAUGGGGCUCUAUGGGGUCUCCAUGGGUCCCUAUGGGUCUCUAUGGGUCCCUAUGGAUCUCUAUGGGGCUCUAUGGGGUCUCUGUGGGGCUCUAUGGGUCCCUAUGGGGUCUCUAUGGGGCUCUGUGGGGUCUCUAUGGGUCCCUAUGGGUCUCUAUGGGGCUCUAUGGGUCUCUAUGGGGUCUCUGUGGGGCUCUAUGGGUCCCUAUGGGGUCUCUAUGUCUCUCUAUGGGUCCCUAUGGGUCUCUAUGGGGUUCUAUGGGGUCUCUAUAUGUCUCUAUGUGUUCCUAUGUCUCUCUAUGGGGUCUCUAUGGGUCCGUAUGGGGUCUCUAUGUAUCCCUAUGGGAUCUCUAUGGGUCUCUAUGGGUCCCUAUGGGUCUCUAUAGGUCUCUAUGGGACUAUUUGGGUCCCUAUGGGUCCCUAUGGGAUUUCUAUGGGUCUCUAUGGGUCUCUAUGGGUCUCUAUGGGUCC
Molecule: long non-coding RNA, 1480 nt
Filed under: Coturnix japonica (Japanese quail)
Lineage: Eukaryota; Metazoa; Chordata; Aves; Galliformes; Phasianidae
Description: lncRNA (ENSCJPG00005001891.1)
Source: RNAcentral